Molecule: unclassified non-coding RNA, 281 nt
Filed under: uncultured soil eukaryote
Lineage: Eukaryota
Description: sequence contains 5.8S rRNA gene, ITS2, 28S rRNA gene
Source: RNAcentral
UGAACGCAACUUGCACCUCAUUCGAGGUAUGUCUGUUUGAGUAUCAUAUUGACCCUCUAAUUCAAGUCAAUUGAAUUGGGAUUUGAGUGUUUCGAUUUUGUAUCGAUCACUUUAAAUGUAUUACCAGGCGUUGUUAACACAUAGUACAAGUGCCUUUUGUCAAAAGAGGAUUUAUUCUCUUUCAAAGGACACAGCGUACUGCAUUGCAACGUAACUUGUGCAAACAAGUUAAAUCUCUUUACAUUGAUCUCAAAUCAGGCAAGACUACCCGCUGAACUUAA